This 873-nucleotide ribosomal RNA is filed under the name Bartalinia sp. Its description in RNAcentral is "partial large subunit ribosomal RNA". It matches the Rfam family "Eukaryotic large subunit ribosomal RNA", at positions 65 to 962 of the family's 3401-position model. Lineage: Eukaryota; Fungi; Ascomycota; Sordariomycetes; Amphisphaeriales; Sporocadaceae. The record is from RNAcentral.
CCUACAGGGGAUUGCCUUAGUAACGGCGAGUGAAGCGGCAAUAGCUCAAAUUUGAAAUCUGGCGCUUGCGUCCGAGUUGUAAUUUGUAGAGGAUGAUUUUGGUUAGGUACCUUUCGAGUUCCUUGGAACAGGACGCCUUAGAGGGUGAGAGCCCCGUACGAUUGGAUGCCGAGCCUCUGUAAAUCUCCUUCGACGAGUCGAGUAGUUUGGGAAUGCUGCUCUAAAUGGGAGGUAAAUUUCUUCUAAAGCUAAAUACCGGCCAGAGACCGAUAGCGCACAAGUAGAGUGAUCGAAAGAUGAAAAGCACUUUGAAAAGAGGGUUAAAUAGCACGUGAAAUUGUUGAAAGGGAAGGAUUUAUGACCAGACUUUUUCUAGGAGAAUCAUCCGGUGUUCUCACCGGUGCACUUCUUUUAGUUUAGGCCAGCAUCGACUUUCGGCGGUGGAUAAAAGCUUUAGGAAUGUGGCUUCCCUCGGGAAGUGUUAUAGCCUAUUGUAUAAUACACUGCUGGGGGUCGAGGUACGCGCUUCUGCAAGGAUGCUGGCGUAAUGGUUAUCAAUCACCCGUCUUGAAACACGGACCAAGGAGUCGAACAUUUGUGCGAGUGUUUGGGUGUUAAACCCUCACGCGUAAUGAAAGUGAACGGAGGUGAGAGCCCUUACGGGUGCAUCAUCGACCGAUCCUGAUGUUUUCGGAUGGAUUUGAGUAAGAGCAUAAAUGUUCGGACCCGAAAGAUGGUGAACUAUGCGUGGAUAGGGUGAAGCCAGAGGAAACUCUGGUGGAGGCUCGCAGCGGUUCUGACGUGCAAAUCGAUCGUCAAAUCUGCGCAUGGGGGCGAAAGACUAAUCGAACCAUCUAGUAGCUGGUUACCGCC